Molecule: long non-coding RNA, 1621 nt
Organism: Contarinia nasturtii (swede midge)
Lineage: Eukaryota; Metazoa; Arthropoda; Insecta; Diptera; Cecidomyiidae
Exons: 3
Source: RefSeq, a predicted model, not a curated record
GUUGAUAGCAGAAUAUUAUUUGAAUAUACCAAAUAGUGGUUAAAUUGGUUUCUAUAUUCAUUAUUGAUUACAUUUAAUGCUUAAAUAAGACAUUCAAAUGACAUUUCCAGUUGAGAUUUUAAGUCGAAUCAAUAGAAAUAACACCAUGAGCGCCAUGAGGUUCUUUGGAGUAAUUCUGGUCAUUUUAUUUACUAUAAUAGUAUCCUCAGGCGCAACUCAUUUGACUCCAGCUGAAACAGGAAGGUUGUGUGCACUGACUCCAAAACCAUCGAAAGGUACAUUUUGCGUUGAAAGACAACGGUAUUUUUACACAGAAAAUGAGGGAUGUGAGAAUGUCACCUUCAUGGACUGUGACAUUAGAAAAUCCAUAUAUUUGUACAGUUUUACCACAAAAGAACAAUGCGAAGACGUAUGCAUACGAAAAGCCGAAAAGAAGAAACCUAAAGGAGACUAUUCGCUGUAUUAUCUUUUCUAAUUACAAUAAAAUAUUUAUAAAAUUUUACUUAAGAUGUAUGUAAUUUUAUGAGUAAAUAUUGUAACUCAGCAAUUCGUGUAAGAAGGACAACUUCAUUUUAUGAUGGCAUAUAUGACGCAUUGACGGCAAUGAAAACAAGAAAGAAGAAAAAACAAAUAUAUUGAACAAGCAUAUACUCAAAAUUAACAAAUGUAAAAGUUUGUACAAAUACUUCCAGAUGUAAAGAAUGACAUGAAAUAAUAUUGGGCACAAAAUAUAUCGCUUUUGGUAUUGAUUAGGCAUUGCAAAACUUUGUUUAAAGUUAAAAUGGCAUGAGCAAAGAAGAACGUAAACAGACGCAAGUGUAUAAAAUACAUUCUUUAUCAGUGUCAAAAAAUACGGACUUGCUAUCAACAAUCAACUUUAAAAACAUUUGCAUGAUCAAUAUUGGUCAUAUCAAAGGCCAGCACGUUUCAAUAAAUUCGAUAAUGAACCUUGUAAAUCUUAACUUCUCACCAGAGAAACAAUCUCAAAAAUUUUGAAGCCGUUAUUUUGAAGUCUCGUACGAAAUGUUCGAUUCUUAGCUCAAUCUCGAAACAAAAAAAUUCAAUUUUAAUCGAAUAUAUUCUAAUGCGAGAAUUGUAAAAGAGAAAAAUAAAUAAAAACAAACUCAAAGAAAGCGGCGUUAUUUUGAGUAUUCUAUUGACAUUCCUAUCAUCAGAAUGUCAAAUGUUGAACGCUCGAUUUGAUUUGAAUUAUUUGCCACAUAGAAGUGAUUUCAAAGUCGUUUUGCGCCCAAUUGCAAACGCAAAGUAAUAAAGGAAAGACGCAAUAAGUGUGACACAAUGAAGUUAUUUUGUUUUUUUCUUGUCUCAUUGUACAUGUGCAGUGUGUUUAUUUCAGCACAAUUAACGGGGAAUGUAUGUGAUCAACCAGCACCAAAUGAAAACGAUGGAGUCGCAUGUGCAGCAACCUUUCAUAACUGGUUCUACAACGCAAAGACUGCAAAUUGCGAACAAUCCAUGUAUGGUCGAUGCAGAGGCAACGCAAAUGUAUUUGAAACUAAAGCCGAAUGUGAAAAGGCAUGCAAAAGGGUGUAAAAAUAUGAAAAUGUGUGAUGGAAAAAUCUCGCCAAGGCGUAAAUAAAAUAAAAUAACACAUUUUUUA